GAUGAACGCUAGCUACAGGCUUAACACAUGCAAGUCGAGGGACCGGCGCACGGGUGAGUAACACGUAUCCCACCUGCCCUUUACUCGGGGAUAGCCUUUCGCAAGAAAGAUUAAUACCCGAUAUAAAGGAUGGAGAUGCGUUCCAUUAGGUUGUGGGUAAGGUAACGGCUCACCAAGCCUUCGAUGGAUAGGGGUUGUGAGAGGAAGGCCCCCCAGAUUGGAACUGCGGCCCGGUCCAAACUCGUACGGGAGGGAGGAGUGUGGAACAUUGGGCAAUCGGCGCUAGCCUGAACCAGCCAAGUAGCGUGAAGGAUGAAGGCUUAUGGAUCGUAAACUUGUUUUAUAUAAGAAUAGGUAUUAUAUGAAUAAGGAUCGGCUAACUCCGUGCCAGCAGCCGCGGUAAUUC
RNAcentral lists this ribosomal RNA (406 nucleotides) under uncultured bacterium. RNAcentral's name for it is "partial 16S ribosomal RNA". It matches the Rfam family "Bacterial small subunit ribosomal RNA", at positions 28 to 526 of the family's 1533-position model. The record is from RNAcentral.